This 585-nucleotide ribosomal RNA is filed under the name uncultured bacterium. RNAcentral's name for it is "partial 16S ribosomal RNA". It matches the Rfam family "Bacterial small subunit ribosomal RNA", at positions 355 to 1375 of the family's 1533-position model. The record is from RNAcentral.
UGGGGAAUUUUGGACAAUGGGCGAAAGCCUGAUCCAGCAAUGCCGCGUGUGUGAAGAAGGCCUUCGGGUUGUAAAGCACUUUUGUCCGGAAAGAAAUCCUUGGCUCUAAUACAGUCGGGGGAUGACGGUACCGGAAGAAUAAGCACCGGCUAACUACGUGCCAGCAGCCGCGGUAAUACGCAGGGUGCAAGCGUUAAUCGGAAUUACUGGGCGUAAAGCGUGCGCAGGCGGUUUGCUAAGACCGAUGUGAAAUCCCCGGGCUCAACCUGGGAACUGCAUUGGUGACUGGCAGGCUAGAGUAUGGCAGAGGGGGGUAGAAUUCCACGUGUAGCAGUGAAAUGCGUAGAGAUGUGGAGGAAUACCGAUGGCGAAGGCAGCCCCCUGGGCCAAUACUGACGCUCAUGCACGAAAGCGUGGGGAGCAAACAGGAUUAGAUACCCUGGUAGUCCACGCCCUAAACGAUGUCAACUAGUUGUUGGGGAUUCAUUUCCUUAGUAACGUAGCUAACGCGUGAAGUUGACCGCCUGGGGAGUACGGUCGCAAGAUUAAAACUUAAAUGAAUUGACGGGGUCAUAGCUGUUUCCU